GUGUCAGCAGCCGCGGUAAUACGUAGGUGACGAGCGUUAUCCGGAAUUACUGGGCGUAAAGCGCACGCAAGCGGUUGGACAAGUCUGGCGUGAAAUCUCCUGGCUUAACUAGGAGCGGUCGCUGGAAACUGUCGAGCUUGAGGCGAUGAGAGGGGUGCAGAAUUCCCGGUGUAGUGGUGGAAUGCGUAGAGAUCGGGAGGAAUACCAGUGGCGAAAGCGGCACCCUGGCGUCGUACUGACGCACAUGUGCGAAAGCGUGGGGAGCGAACGGGAUUAGAUACCCCUGUAGUCC
This 292-nucleotide ribosomal RNA is filed under the name uncultured bacterium. RNAcentral's name for it is "partial 16S ribosomal RNA". It matches the Rfam family "Bacterial small subunit ribosomal RNA", at positions 505 to 796 of the family's 1533-position model. The record is from RNAcentral.